GUUUGGAACUUUCAGCAGGCUAUGACCCUUUUCAUGCAUACAUCGUGCGGGGGGGCCUCGGUGUUCAAUGGUGGUUCCUGUGUUGCCUACCCAUUUAUUGGUAUCGUGUGCCACGAAGACUCGCUAUUCACACACCCCCUUGUGGCGGUUGAUGGGGGAUAUCUAAUUUGAUGCGUGUUUUGUGUUAGUCGUGCGUUGUAUCGGCUCAUGUGCCCACACGUGUAUAUUGUUCCCUUGGAUGCGGUGCAUGUGGUGAAUGUGGGCUGGUGUUUAUGCCUCGUUUCGUUGCUGUGAUAUAACAGUUGCCUUUGAAAGACACUUUGCCGUAGUGCCAGCCUUGCUAUCCCAUUGGUGGUUGCAAUACUUGCAUGUCGU
Molecule: unclassified non-coding RNA, 375 nt
Filed under: Crotalaria sagittalis
Lineage: Eukaryota; Viridiplantae; Streptophyta; Magnoliopsida; Fabales; Fabaceae
Description: partial external transcribed spacer
Source: RNAcentral